Molecule: long non-coding RNA, 289 nt
Filed under: Homo sapiens (human)
Lineage: Eukaryota; Metazoa; Chordata; Mammalia; Primates; Hominidae
Description: non-protein coding lnc-ZNF706-2:2
Source: RNAcentral
CAGACCUGUAGCAGCAUGGCCCAAAAAGUUCCUCUGCUGCCCCAGUCCCAUACCUGCCUGAGGUACGGGGGUUCAGGCUGAGUCGGCUGACCUGGAGUCAUCUGGAAGCCUUGUCAGAAAUGCAGAUUCUGCAGUGCUGUUCCCAGAGGAUGAGAUUCAGCAGAACUGGGUGUUGGAUAUUAUAUGAAGAGAUUUGCAAGUGUUAUUUUACGUAAUUCGCACUUUACAAAGGAGGAAACUGCAGCGCAGGUACCAAGGUUGCCCCAUCUCGGUCCAGGCCUGCUCCCGG